CUCGCUCGCCCCCUCUCCUUCUCCUCCUCCCGGUCCUUCCGUCUCCUCCUCUUCCUCGUCCUUUUCUCCUCCGCUCACCGCCCCCGCAGCUGAUUUGUCAGCUCCUCUCCCCGCCCCUCCCCCGGCGCUCGCCGCUUUCCCCGCCGCGUGCUCUUCACUCCUCUUCUCGGCUGGGGAUGGGGCGUGGAGGAAGGCUGGCCCUCCAGCUCCGGCAGCCCGCCAGGUCCUGGGAGACGGGAAGGUGGGGGUGUUCUGGGGCUCACUUCAAGUCACGGGGGCUCUUGCGGAGGUUCGGAGCGGUUAGGCUUGGACUGAUGUCUCUCCCUCUUUCCCAUCCCCCCCUUCCCAGUCUCCGCCUUUCCCUCUGGUUCCUCACGGGGACCCCCCACGUCAGAACCGGCCUGGGGAAGUGGAAGUCUGGGCGAUCGACCACCAAAGAUAGAGCCAGUCUCUCGGGGAGCUGCUGAAGGAGACAGGCAGCGUAGGAAGGGUGCUCCCAUCGGCACUGCCAAGAGCAUGUUUCCCUCGGAUCGCUGAAAUUUGAUUAAUGGUCGUAGGACACAACGUUAACGAUGCUUUUGUUUAAAGAGCCUCCAGAUGUACGUUUGCUCUUAACCUCUCAUGAGCCCGAAAUGGGCUCGCGGGUGGAGAGAAGACGAGUAAAGAAGAGUUACAGGUUGAAGAGGCAAGAGGAGGCGCGUCAAAUCCUCUUCCCACCCCCACUCUCACCAUUUUCUUUUCCACCAACCAGCGGCUGCCAGACGCUGAUUUUCCCAUCAGUGGAACAAGGAAGGAAUAGUCUCCUCAGCCGUCGAAACCAAGCGGCUGUAAGGCUUUUCGUUCUCAGAGUGGAAUUUACUUUCCAGAUUCAAGGGCCUGGCUGGAAGAGACACAUCCAGCGUGACUGAGUCUCCUGACCCAGCAGAUCCAAUUUCUUCCGCCCCUUCUGCAAAGGGAGAUUCUACACACCACUCACCUUUCCGACUUCUGAUUCCCGUUGUCCUCGGUGCUGACACGCUACCGCAUCCCACACACAGACACACAGGCAGACACUCGCACGGGUUUCAAGACAUUUUUGCAUUGCUUAAUUGGAAGGAGCUGGAGGGAAAACAGGUGUUCUGGAUCACACCGGAAUGGAGACCCAAGAGCCUCCCCGUAACAGAUCUGCCUCUGCUUUCUUUGCCUGGAAUGAGAGGAUGCUUUUAGAACUGGAAGGGGAAAAGAAGUCUUUGCUGUAUGAUUCCACACCUUUAUAUGGUACAUUAUGCUUGGCAAAGGACUAAUGUAUGAUCAUUUAAUCAUAACAAGUGGGUGUGCCAUGUGCUAAGCUUGAGCUGCAAAGUGGAACGACAUGAAAAAUACGGAAGCUUCCCGUGACCAUAUACUAAAGGAAGGAUAAGAACUGAUUUGUGUUUAAGUAAGGAAAAUACAAUCUUUACUGUCUUUGAAUAAUAUUCCAUGUUUGUUGUGAAACACAAGGAGCAAUGUAAUGUGGAUUCUUGGGCCUCUUGUUUCUCACUCUCUUCUGCACCUUCCUCUCAUCUUCAGUAGAUGUAGGAAAACAGGAGGUAGUGAGAUCUUGGUAGCCUUCUCUUGUCAUUUCAUGGUGGGCACAGAAGGGAAAGCCUAAUGCAUACAGUUGGGAUGGCAUUGUGUGUGAUUUUGGAAAGGGGUUGCACUUGAGACAGGGUUACUCCAAAGAAAUAUGAAAAACAAUAAAGAGGACAUAUAGGGUUCAGAGAAGAUUAUUUAAUUUGACCCCAUGGACAACUUCAUGUUGUUUCUGCGAUACCCCGUGCAGCAAAAAAUAAUGGACAUUUAUUCCAGCACGAUGUAUUUAUCAUACUUAUUAAUACUGUAGUAUAUCCUCAAUAAUGUCGAAUGACCAUAAUUUGUAACCACAAGAAGGUGCCAUGUGAAAGGUGUAAAAUUCAACUGGGCAUCAUUUUAAAUAUCCUUGUGGCUUUUGGUGCUAAGAAUAUUAAGACAUGCAAGAUUCUAUGGUUAAAGCCUUUAAAGCUAGGUAGAAAAGAUGUUUAAAUAUUGGGGGAUCCAAAAGUUCAAAUAGAUGGCCAACAGGCACAUGAACAAAUGCUCAACAUCACUAAUUAUUAGAGAAAUGCAAAUCGAAACCACAAUGAGGUACCAUCUCACACUGGUCAGAAUGGCCAUCAUCAAGAAGUGUAUAAAUAAUAAAUGCUGGAGAGAGUAUGGAGAAAAGGGAACCCUCCUACCCUGUUGGUGGGAAUGUAUAUUGGUGCAGCCACUAUGGAAAACAGUAUGGAGGUUCCUUUAAAAACUAAAAAUAGAGUUGCCAUAUGAUCCAACAAUUCCAGUUUUGGGCAUAUAUCCAGAAAAGACGAAAACACUAAUUUGAAAAGAUACACACACCCCAGUGUUCAUAGCAGCAAUAUUUACAAUAGCCAAGGCGUGGAAGCAGCCCGAAUGUCCAUCAACAUAUACAUACAAUGGAAUACUACUCAGUCAUAAAAAUGAAUGAAAUAAUGCCAUUUGCAGCAACGUGGAUGGACCUAGAGAGUAUCAUACUAAGUAAGUCAGACAGAGAUAAAUAUCAUAUAAUAUCACUUAUAUGUGUACUCUAAAACAAGGAUGCAAAUCAACUUAUUUAUGAAACAGAAAUAGACUCGCAGACAUAGAAAAUGAACUUAUGGUUAUCAAAGGGGAAAGGCAGAGGGAGGGAUAAAUUGGGAAUUUGAGAUUAACAUAUACACACUACUAUAUAUAAAAUAGAUUUUAAAAAACAAGGAUCUACUGUAUAGCUAUAUACUAUAUUCAAUAUCAUGUAAUAAUCUAUAAUGGAAAAGGAAUCCGAAAAAGAAUAUAUAUUUUUUUGGGCUUCCCUGGUGGCGCAGUGGUUGAGAGUCCGCCUGCCGAUGCAGGGGACACAAGUUCGUGCCCCAGUCCGGGAAGAUCCCACAUGCCGCGGGGCGGCUGGGCCCGUGAGCCACGGCCGCUGAGCCUGCGCGUCCGGAGCCUGCGCUCCGCAACGGGAGAGGCCGCAACAGUGAGGCCAGCAAAGCGCAAAAAAAAAAAAAAAAAAAAAAAAGAAUAUAUAUAUUCUAAAUCACUUUGCUGUAGACCUGAAACAUUGUAAAUCAACUAUACUUCAAUUUAAAAAUUUUUUAAAUUAAAAAUGAAACCAACAAAAAAAUUCAAAUAACUUUAAUAUUUGAAGGGAAAGCAUGUUUAUGAACUCAAGAAGUGAGUAAGCAUGGUAGACUUCAGAAAGUAGAGGAACUGGGUACAGGUUAAAUGCAGGGACUGAUCUAGGCUCUACUACUUGGUAGCAGGACUGAGAGCAAGUAUCCCAAUUCUCUGACCUCUAAUUUUCAUAUCUGUAAAAUGGGGAUGCCAUCUCGUGUGAUUGCUGUAAGGAAUAAAUAAUAUGCUUUUUAGGAAAGAACCAAGCACAGUGGAAUUUCUCAAUACAAGUAGCAAUUAUUGUUAUCUAGCCUCUAUAUUUUAGGGUGCCCUAGGAAACACUUUUUUCCUUGCAGAAGUUUUCAACAUUAUUACCAGCCCUCCCCAACCUCCCUUCCCACCACAACACGCCCGAGGUAUCUGAUGCCUCCCCAUCAAUAACUUUGCCUUACUAUGGCAAGGAAAACAUUUCCAACCAGGGAUGGAAGUUGUGGGGAGAUGAGAGUGUGGGGAGUCUAGAGACAUUGAUAGAGGUCAUUAGCAGAAAAUCUGCCAAUAUCUCUUUUCUCUCCUUAAUGUGUAGAUUACAGUAACAACAUCACUCAUGGCAAUUUGCUUCAGGAGCCUGCAAAAAUAGAGAAAUAGAAAUAUAUCACUGUCUUUAUUGAUAGUUUUACAUUCUUGGAACCUGGUUUCUUUAAAGGGGUGGUGGCAGAGUUCUGUUUGAAUUAUGUUAAUUUUCUAAGGGAGAAAAAUAAAAUGCUACAACAAAUGGUGUUCCAAGUUUGCCAGACUCAUUGUGACAGCAACCCUGAAGGCUUCAGAAUGAAUAUCCAGUUCAGAGAUAAACUCAGCCUCUCAUGUUCCAGCUGAGUGAAGAAUGGACAGACUGAUGGGACAGUGACAGAUCGACUUAUACUUUUCAACAGCAUCUGUGUGCAGAAAGGCACAAAAUAAAUGGAUGAAGAAACGUUUCAGGAAAAUUUAUAAUGUUUUCGUAUGAUGUGUUAAACUGACGUUUUUUGGGGGGUUUUUUUGUGUUUUUU
This is a long non-coding RNA of Globicephala melas (long-finned pilot whale), 4208 nucleotides long. RefSeq lists it as uncharacterized. The record is from RefSeq and is a predicted model, not a curated record. NCBI's taxonomy places the organism in Eukaryota, Metazoa, Chordata, Mammalia, Artiodactyla, Delphinidae.